Molecule: ribosomal RNA, 342 nt
Filed under: Aceria sp. ADM-2012
Lineage: Eukaryota; Metazoa; Arthropoda; Arachnida; Trombidiformes; Eriophyidae
Description: partial 16S ribosomal RNA
Rfam family: Bacterial large subunit ribosomal RNA (bases 209-342)
Source: RNAcentral
GCCUAUUAAUUGUAGGCCAGUAUGAAAGAAUAAACUUGGAUAAACUUUAUUUAUUUUAAAAAUGAAUUUAAAAGAAAUUAAAAAAUUUUUCUUAAAUUGUCAGACGAGAAGACCCUAAAAACUAAUUUAAUAAAAUUUUUUGGGGAAAAUAAAAAAUAUUCAUCUUUUUCAUUAUCAAAAUAUCAACUUAAAAAUAAGUUACUUUAGGGAUAACAGAACAAUUCUUAAUAAAAGAACAAAUUAAAUUAAGAAAUUGUGACCUCGAUGUUGGAUUCUUGAAUCUUUAAAUUGCAGCCAAUUUAGAAGAAUAGACUGUUCGUUUUUCAAAUCAAGACGUGAUCU